AGCCAGUGUGGUGUAGUGGUUUGAGUAUUAGACUACAACUCUGGAGCCCAGGGUUUGUUUCCCAGCUUGGCUA
Phrynosoma platyrhinos (Desert horned lizard) is the source of this 73-nucleotide non-coding RNA. The record is from the annotation of a GenBank genome assembly. Lineage: Eukaryota; Metazoa; Chordata; Lepidosauria; Squamata; Phrynosomatidae.